Perca fluviatilis (European perch) is the source of this 926-nucleotide long non-coding RNA. RefSeq lists it as uncharacterized. The record is from RefSeq and is a predicted model, not a curated record. Lineage: Eukaryota; Metazoa; Chordata; Actinopteri; Perciformes; Percidae. The transcript is spliced from 4 exons.
CCUCGUGUGGCCCUCACAAAUGAUAGCAGAUCCUCUACCAUUUCAAUGUAGGAACUCCAAAACUGGAAAGGCACUUUGGAGGUCAGCAGCAACUUUUAAAGCAGCUUCCCGGCAGUCUUGAGAAAGGGUUUCAAGACCCAGCAGCAAUAACGUCAGCCUCAAUCAGAAUGUCUUGUAAGCCAGCAUCUCCAAAUGCGCUUGCCAAUACAGGACAGGAAAGCCAUACAUGUGUGAAACUCCCCAUUCUAAUUGUAAUCCCAGAUCCUCAGCCCUGCUGUGAGAUAUCUUCUUGACCUGAUCUGACUAAACCCUGACACAUCUAUUCUGCUGAAACAAUGAAAAUGCUCUUUGUUUUUCACGGUUCAUCAUAAAACCCUUUUAAUGUUUUGCUCAACUGUUUGGUGGCGUGCAUUUUCAGUCGCUAUAUGUUGAAAAAUUUGUCCACUAGAUGUCGCUGUGUCUAUAGUAGCCUUUUUAUUAGUUUACCUUGACUAAAAUGUCAAUUAAGACACAGGGCUCUGUCUGGCCCUUCUCUUAUUACAUUCAUGGUCUGGCCUGGCAAGGUUUACAUGGGCAGGGUUUGUUUUUUGUGUGCAUAGUUUCGUCGGGAUCUAUAUAUUGUUAAAAUGAUAUGUUAAAUGUUCUACCAUUUUAUAUACAUAUUACUGCCAUAUAUUACUAAUACUAAAGCCUUGCUUGAUCAAAUAGUUGAAUUGUCAUUUAGUUAUAAAGGUAGUCAUGCUAAGACAAUACAUAUUCAACUUUUAUAAGAAUAAAUAUAUAUUUAACUUAAUAUGUUAUUACAUUAUAUAAUUAUAUUCUAUGAUUUUUCACUGUUUCUGAGAUGUAAAUAUCUGUAAUUUAUGUUUGGGGUUAAAAUGAAUUCUAAGCAUUUAUACCAUGAUUUAUCCAAACAUAUGAGGUCA